RNAcentral lists this ribosomal RNA (460 nucleotides) under uncultured Syntrophus sp. Its description in RNAcentral is "bacterial SSU rRNA". It matches the Rfam family "Bacterial small subunit ribosomal RNA", at positions 920 to 1382 of the family's 1533-position model. Lineage: Bacteria; Pseudomonadati; Thermodesulfobacteriota; Syntrophia; Syntrophales; Syntrophaceae. The record is from RNAcentral.
CCCGCACAAGCGGUGGAGCAUGUGGUUUAAUCGAUGCAACGCGAAGAACCUUACCUGGGCUUGACAUCCCGAGAAUCCCCUGGAAACAGGGAGUGCCUUUCGGGGAACUCGGAGACAGGUGCUGCAUGGCUGUCGUCAGCUCGUGUCGUGAGAUGUUGGGUUAAGUCCCGCAACGAGCGCAACCCUUGUCUUUAAUUGCCAGCAUUCAGUUGGGCACUUUAAAGAGACUGCCGGUGUUAAGCCGGAGGAAGGUGGGAUGACGUCAAGUCCUCAUGGCCUUUAUGCCCAGGGCUACACACGUGCUACAAUGGGUGGUACAAAGAGAUGCCAACUCGCGAGAGCGCGCCAAUCUCAGAAAGCCAUCCUCAGUUCGGAUUGGAGUCUGCAACUCGACUCCAUGAAGUUGGAAUCGCUAGUAAUCGCGGAUCAGCACGCCGCGGUGAAUACGUUCCCGGGCCUU